Molecule: ribosomal RNA, 102 nt
Filed under: uncultured bacterium
Lineage: Bacteria
Description: partial 16S ribosomal RNA
Rfam family: Bacterial small subunit ribosomal RNA
Source: RNAcentral
CGUUCCCGGGCCUUGUACACACCGCCCGUCACAUCAACGAAAGUGGAUUGUACUAGAAGUCCUAAUCAAAACAGGCCCAAGGUAUGAUUCAUGAUUGGGGUG